UACGUAGGGGGCGAGCGUUGUCCGGAAUUAUUGGGCGUAAAGAGCUCGUAGGCGGUUCGGCAAGUCACGUGUGAAAUCUCCACGCUCAACGUGGAGGCGCCACGUGAGACUGCUGUGACUCGAGUCCGGUAGGGGAGCGUGGAAUUCCCGGUGUAGCGGUGAAAUGCGCAGAGAUCGGGAGGAACACCCGUAGCGAAGGCGGCGCUCUGGGCCGGUACUGACGCUGAGGAGCGAAAGCGUGGGGAGCAAACAGG
Molecule: ribosomal RNA, 254 nt
Filed under: uncultured bacterium
Lineage: Bacteria
Also listed under: 1 other name
Description: partial 16S ribosomal RNA
Rfam family: Bacterial small subunit ribosomal RNA
Source: RNAcentral